GACGAACGCUGGCGGCGUGCUUAACACAUGCAAGUCGAACGGAAAGGCCCUGCUUUUGUGGGGCGCUCGAGUGGCGAACGGGUGAGUAACACGUGAGUAACCUGCCCUUGACUUUGGGAUAACUUCAGGAAACUGGGGCUAAUACCGGAUAGGAGCUCCUGCUGCAUGGUGGGGGUUGGAAAGUUUCGGCGGUUGGGGCUGGACUCGCGGCUUAUCGGCUUGUUGGUGGGGUAGUGGCUUACCAAGGCUUUGACGGGUAGCCGGCCUGAGAGGGUGAACGGCCACAUUAGGACUGAGAUACGGCCCAGACUCCUACGGGAGGCAGCGGUGGAGAAUAUUGCACAACGAGCGGAAGUCUGAUGCAGCAACGCCGCGUGCGGAAUGACGGCCUUCGGGUUGUAAACCGCUGUCGCCUGUGACGAAGCGGGAGUGACGGUAAUGGGUAAAGAAGCACCGGCUAACUACGUG
Molecule: ribosomal RNA, 468 nt
Filed under: uncultured bacterium
Lineage: Bacteria
Description: partial 16S ribosomal RNA
Rfam family: Bacterial small subunit ribosomal RNA
Source: RNAcentral